UGAACGCUGGCGGUAUGCUUAACACAUGCAAGUCGAACGGAAACGAUACUAGCUUGCUAGUAGGCGUCGAGUGGCGGACGGGUGAGUAACGCGUAGGAAUCUGCCUGAUAGUGGGGGAUAGCCCGGAGAAAUUCGGAUUAAUACCGCAUAAUCUAUUCGUAGUAAAGUGGGGGACUUUCGAGCCUCACGCUAUCAGAUGAGCCUGCGUAAGAUUAGCUUGUUGGUAGGGUAAAAGCCUACCAAGGCGACGAUCUUUAGCUGGUCUGAGAGGAUGAUCAGCCACAUCGGGACUGAGACACGGCCCGAACUCCUACGGGAGGCAGCAGUGGGGAAUAUUGGACAAUGGGGGCAACCCUGAUCCAGCAAUACCGCGUGUGUGAAGAAGGCCUGAGGGUUGUAAAGCACUUUCAAUUGUGAAGAAAAGUUAACGGUUAAUAACCGUUAGCCUUGACGUUAACUUUAGAAGAAGCACCGGCUAACUCCGUGCCAGCAGCCGCGGUAAUACGGAGGGUGCAAGCGUUAAUCGGAAUUACUGGGCGUAAAGCGUGCGUAGGUGGUUUAUUAAGUCAGAUGUGAAAGCCCCGGGCUUAACCUGGGAACUGCAUUUGAAACUGGUAAACUAGAGUAUGGUAGAGGAAAGUGGAAUUUCUGGUGUAGCGGUGAAAUGCGUAGAUAUCAGAAGGAACAUCAAUGGCGAAGGCAGCUUUCUGGACCAAUACUGACACUGAGGUACGAAAGCGUGGGUAGCAAACAGGAUUAGAUACCCUGGUAGU
RNAcentral lists this ribosomal RNA (773 nucleotides) under uncultured bacterium. Its description in RNAcentral is "bacterial SSU rRNA". It matches the Rfam family "Bacterial small subunit ribosomal RNA", at positions 30 to 794 of the family's 1533-position model. The record is from RNAcentral.